AACCUGGCUGAAACAACCUCAGCUUGGCCCCUGCAAAGUGGAGGCCAAGCACAGCAGAAGCCCGACUCGGUGAAGCUCCCAUGGCAGAAGCUGAACACAAAAAUCCCAGCACAGUGGAAGGGACCAGAAGCCCAGCAUGCUGGAAACCAGAACAGCAAAAACAAACUCAGCAGAAAGCUCAUGCAGCUCAGUCUCAGAUUGCAGGAGACCUCCUGUUCAGGUCAGCAAGUGUGACUCGAGUCUCCCACUGCCGUCUCUCGGGUUCUGUCUUCUGCACUCACACCUCCCCGUGACCACAGCUUGGAGAGGAUCCAUGUGAUUAGAGUGGGCACAUCUAGAUGAUCCGGGAUAAUCUUGCCCUUUCAAGGUCCUUAAAUCAGAAUCUUUUUUUCCAUAAACAGGUAAUCUGUCUACACCUUGUCAUUUGUCAGUACUCUCUAAAUAAAUGGAUAUAUAUGUUAAAGGUGGCAAGCAACACAACAGUGAUCAUAAAUCUAGUCUACUCUGCAGCUAAAAUCUCUUGAAUGUUAAGACCACAUAUAGAGUGAUAUUUUCCGCUCAUUCACGCAGUGACAACCAAACCCGUUUUCAGUCAACGUUCCAAGCUGAUUUUAAGCCCUAGUUGAAGACAUUAAGAAAUACAAGCAGGGUGAAGCAAGGAAUGCUUUCUGAAUUUUGAAACAAAGGGAAUCUAUGCUCACUUGGGCAAAGAAGGGCAGUUGAAGUGACCAAAACAAUGGAGGCGAGAAGCUUCAUUGAAAGAACAAGCUACCAAGUAUGGACACUUGAAUUUAUCAGGAUAUAGACUCACACAGCACACAGGAUUCUAAACUGCAUGAACAAGAUGACAUGGAUUUGUUAGCUAUGCUCAAAGUACUAAUGGAAAGAGCAUCCUGUGAAACUUGAACAAGAUAAGUACAAUAAA
Molecule: non-coding RNA, 925 nt
Organism: Odocoileus virginianus texanus
Lineage: Eukaryota; Metazoa; Chordata; Mammalia; Artiodactyla; Cervidae
Source: RefSeq, a predicted model, not a curated record